RNAcentral lists this long non-coding RNA (2304 nucleotides) under Cricetulus griseus (Chinese hamster). Its description in RNAcentral is "lncRNA (ENSCGRG00015041008.1)". Lineage: Eukaryota; Metazoa; Chordata; Mammalia; Rodentia; Cricetidae. The record is from RNAcentral.
GGUCUGUCCUGUGGUCUGCCUUUAGUGGCCUCCUGGAUACCAGGCUUGCCCUAGUAGCAGUGUUCAGGAGGUCUCCUCAGGAGUGUGACUGCCCUGAGGCCUGCAUGUUGUUGUGGCUCUCAGAUCUGGGCCUUGUCAAAAGUCAGCAUGCAAUCAGCCCCUGGUCCCUGGGCUUGCCCUUGGCCCUGUGUGCUGGAGACGUGACAUGGAGAUAUGUCAACCCAAUGGGACCCUGGAGUUCUGGUCCUCAGACCCCAGGUUCAACAGACAAGAUCUGCACAGGUCAACAAAAGUUGACAGCAGUAAAAAUCCUGAAAUGGGAAAGAAGAAAAGCUGCCUUACUAUAUCUGAGGUUGCGAUCAUGAAAUCUUUGGAUCAUCCAAAGGUCAUCAUACUCUACCACACCACCAACCUCACACAACACCUAUAUCGUUAUGGAACAUGCCACGGUCGGUGAGCUGCGUUACAGAGAGUCAUGGCAUCAGUGCAGAGCGCCACAGCGAAUGAACCAUAUCACAUGGUUUGAAUAUAUGCAGAAGGAUGAAGUCUAUAGACUCAUAAACUAUUCAAGCAGGUAGUGUGGGCCCUCCACUACUGCCAUGGAAAAGAAAAUACAUAUAGAUACCUCAAACCAGAAAAUAUCUUAGUAGACACAGAGGAGGACAUAAAAUAAGUGAUUUUGGUCUGGGCAGCGAACUGACCACUGGGAAGAAGUUGAAGGCUUUCUGUGGCAUACCACUGCAAGUUGUACACCUGAGCUCUUUAGGAAGAGUGGAUGAUGGGCUUGCUGUGGACAUCUGGGGCCUGGUAGCACUGUUGUAUUUUAUAGUUGCUAUGUCUUAUCACCCUUUCAAAAAAAAGGGAAAUGCUUACAUAAGUAGCAAAUAUCAAAAAUUGUAUUACAUCUUCUCAACUUUCUCUAGAACUUCAUGACAUGAUCAGCCAGUGGCUGGCCAUUGAUCCUGGACAGUGGUCCAGAUAGGCCACAUAAUAAGACACCUGUCUGUAAACCAUGGUGAUCAGUCUUCCCUGGGUUAUUCAAUAAACAAAUUCCCAACCAACUAGAACCCUACAAAUUUACAAAUAGGUUUGUGGUACAGUCUUCAAGAAACACAAGAUUCUUUAAGACAUAAAAACAGGAGGAGAUAGUAUUUAACUGGUCAGCAAUGGUCACCCUGGAGAGGACAAAAUGACAAGUUCAGACUUGGAAGCAGGGUAGCACCAUCACCUCUGCACAUCCUUCCACCUUCCUUCUCAGCCUGAGGAGACCCAGUUUUCCUGCCCAUCCCAAUCUCAUCUUGUCCACUAAAGGCACCUUCUAUCAUGGCAAGAAGGGUGAAACAAUGCAUAGCAUAUCUGCAACCUUGUGCUGCCAGAGAGGAGCCGGCCUGCAUCAAACUCUAACAAAACAUAUCCUAGUGUAAUCAGGAGGCCUCACUACAUGAGCAGCAAGUAGAGGGAAAUGGACAGCACCAUCAUACCUAAGGAUGCAUUAUGGACCUUUCAGAGAGUUCAUUAUCAGAAACCUCCUCCAUCGAGCCACCCCAGAACAUGACCAGAUCUGGUGCUUACAACCCAAAGAGUAAAAGAUACUCUUAGGAUAAAACAUCUCCAUUCUCAGGGAAGGAAGUCCAAUGUGAGAACAGGAGCACACAAAGACACAGACAGCAGUUCAUCUCACAACCCCCAGCAGACAUCACCUCAGGAGCAACUCAAUGGCCAGCCCCAAGGUGUGACAGAGCCUACAGAAUCAAAUUGCAAAUUGAUUGCACAGACUGUUCCACUGCCUUCUGGCCCCAAAGAAGCAGUGUUGCCCAAUAACAGACACCUGUCAGUGAAUCAGGAAAACAGCGGAGGCAGUGGUGGAACAAAUAGUGUUGAUGGAGCACCUGGGCUCCCUGGAGGCUGACAUCUGGUAUGGACGCCACCAACCACAGCAGAACCCAGCCUACGUCUAGGCAGCUGUGUGCCUGCACCCCAGGCAAGAGGAUCCUGUCUAGCAUGAAAGAUUCCCAUGAGCAGUGAAGUGUCACUUGCCUAAGGGGAAAGAGGAUCAGAACUAGAGAGAGAUAAGGUGGACAGGCAGAGAGAUGGAAGAAAAAUGAUCAUCUAUCCUGAGAACCCCCAUCUGCCUGCACUGUACGUUUAUAUACAGAAACACUGUCUGAAGAACUGUUACCAUCAUGGAAUCACAUAUAGGAGCCUGAAGAAAACAUUCCAAGCCACACAUGCCUCUGUAACACAAAAAUUAUUUUCUUCUUUAAUUUUCUUGUAUAUAUUUAACCACACACUCACACUAUGAUG